This 497-nucleotide ribosomal RNA is filed under the name uncultured bacterium. RNAcentral's name for it is "partial 16S ribosomal RNA". It matches the Rfam family "Bacterial small subunit ribosomal RNA", at positions 28 to 507 of the family's 1533-position model. The record is from RNAcentral.
GAUGAACGCUGGCGGCGUGCCUAAUACAUGCAAGUCGAGCGAACAGACGAGGAGCUUGCUCCUCUGACGUUAGCGGCGGACGGGUGAGUAACACGUGGAUAACCUACCUAUAAGACUGGGAUAACUUCGGGAAACCGGAGCUAAUACCGGAUAAUAUAUUGAACCGCAUGGUUCAAUAGUGAAAGACGGUUUUGCUGUCACUUAUAGAUGGAUCCGCGCCGCAUUAGCUAGUUGGUAAGGUAACGGCUUACCAAGGCAACGAGGCGUAGCCGACGUGAGAGGGUGAUAGGCCACACUGGAAGUGAGACACGGUCCAGACUCCUACGGGAGGGAGCAGUAGGGAAUGGGACGCAAUGGGCGAAAGCCUGACGGAGCAACGCCGCGUGAGUGAUGAAGGUCUUCGGAUCGUAAAACUCUGUUAUUAGGGAAGAACAAAUGUGUAAGUAACUAUGCACGUCUUGACGGUACCUAAUCAGAAAGCCACGGCUAACUACGUG